Molecule: RNA transcript, 855 nt
Organism: Dermacentor albipictus
Lineage: Eukaryota; Metazoa; Arthropoda; Arachnida; Ixodida; Ixodidae
Source: RefSeq, a predicted model, not a curated record
AGCAUGGCGAGAAUGAAGCUUCUUGCUUUGCUUCUGUUUGCCGCUUCCUUAACUAUGCUGGAAGCCACACUUCGGUUCAGGGCUGGAUGGCCUCUCAUAUUUUUGGUGAAUUAGGUCUGCAAGCUGGUUAUUUAAGCAGGAGCAGCAAUUUCGUUUUAACAUAUUGGGAGGUGGCGGGGAUUCUUCUCGAAUAAGCCCCGGGUACAUCGAGGACGUAAACAUGGCGGAUUCCCAAGGUUUUUGACGACGCCAGAGCCAAUAUGGAUAUACAACACCACCGGACAUCCUGAACGGCAGUGUGAAGUGCAACAAGUGCAACAUAUGAACAAAACUUCAGUUCACUUGAUCCGAUCAUAUUACGAACACAGUAAAAAGAUAUCCGGCGACCUACAAGGAACCUUUGAUCUGAAGCACGUGGCACACAUGUUUAUUCAACUUCCAGAUGUCCCGUACAAUCAGACGGAAGAUAUAUUGUAUAUGAGUAGAAGGCGAAGAUGUGCAGUGAUUAAGAUAAGGUCCACGCUUCAAGGCAGUCCCGCUACCUAUGACCUCCGAGUACGGAACUCCUCCAUUACCCGGGGUCCCAGCCGAGGCUGCAAGAGAAAAUUUAGGAAAUACGCACGUGGGUCACAUGGUACUUACCAAACAAAGUGCCAGGAGAUACUACGGAACAUAACGCAACUACUAUCUACUGUUGCAGCUAAUGCGAAUCAGCAAAGCCAGCGUGCUCGCUAGACUUUGCUCCAGCUUUGCGGAGCUGUCUACACUAAUAGCGUUUGAGGUUUUUUUUUUCAAGUUAUGUUAGCCCCGCGCCCCAAGUUUUCAGUUUCAUUAAAAUUAAGUCGAUGACAUCAA